GCAGCCUGACUAGAGAACAAACUACCAAUUAACGAGCGAGGAAACAGGGCCAGAGAAUUGGAACAAAAUACAAGGCUGCCUCUGAAAGGGGUAUCUUUGUGCUGAUGUGUCCAUCAAGAGAACAUACACAGCAGUGACACUUGCCAGUAAUUUGCAAGCAGAUGGAACUUCAAUAUGGCAAUAGAGAAAGAAUCAAUUAGACCAGAGUCUCCUCAGGAAGACUUUCUAUAGGUAAGAUAGAAAAAAGAAUUGUAGUUUCCAUUAAUUGGCAAUAGUAGGAAGAGUAUUACAGAAUAGGGGAAAAUAGGAGGAUAAUUGUAGUAAUUGUAAUGCCCAUUUGCUGAGGUUAUGUGCCAGCCACUGUGCUUAGUGCUUGGCCAGUGUUGUUCUCAUUGAAUUCUCAUAACCACCUUACGAGAUAAAUGCUAUAUUUGACCCUGUUUUACAAAGGAAGAAAAUGAGGCUUUGAGCAG
Molecule: long non-coding RNA, 473 nt
Organism: Pan troglodytes (chimpanzee)
Lineage: Eukaryota; Metazoa; Chordata; Mammalia; Primates; Hominidae
Exons: 3
Source: RefSeq, a predicted model, not a curated record